This 557-nucleotide long non-coding RNA is filed under the name Apteryx rowi (Okarito brown kiwi). RNAcentral describes it as "lncRNA (ENSARWG00000004195.1)". The record is from RNAcentral. Lineage: Eukaryota; Metazoa; Chordata; Aves; Apterygiformes; Apterygidae.
AAUAGUAGUGGCUCUGAGCUGAAUCCUGCAAUGGGAAAUGCUGACGGUCUCCUACUACGUGAGGAACCCUUCUGUUAUUGAAAAGAUGGAAGAACAGCUUAUUCACAUGCAUGUUUCCAGUAUAUUUGUUAAUUUGAAAGCUGUAAAGUUUUUGGAGCCUAACAUUGCAGGAGCAAAKCAUGGCAAGGAGAGGAGAAGGCUGCGAGAGAGGAAGCCCACGUAAGCCUACACCGAGGUCGCUGGGGAGCAGGCUGUGCAUGCGGGCCCUCUGUCCUGGGACCAAAGAACAAGCGAGUAAACGAAGGGCGGCGAGUGUUUCGGUGCCCGCGGACGGUUGGGCACCCGCCGUGCCUGGGACCCUCCUGCUCUCCUCCCCUCGCCCCAUCCCUGCCCUGCAGUGCCUGCCCGCCUGGCACGUCUGUUUGCACCAUUGCAGCGGGGAACCACAGCAGGGAACGGAUUCAGACAAAAAAUCAUCUCCAAGAAGUAAAAUAAAAGGCUGUUUUUCUUCCAGGGGAAAUGCUGGGAAAGUUGUGGAAAACAGAAAGGAGAAUUAG